GGCUACCACAUCUAAGGAAGGCAGCAGGCGCGUAAAUUACCCAAUCCUGACUCAGGGAGGUAGUGACAAGAAAUAACAGACCGGAGCCUCUGGUUCCGGGAUUGCAAUGAGUACAAUUUAAACUCCUUAACAAGUAACAAUUGGAGGGCAAGUCUGGUGCCAGCAGCCGCGGUAAUUCCAGCUCCAAUAGCGUAUAUUAAAGUUGUUGCAGUUAAAAAGCUCGUAGUUGGAUUUCUGGGAAAGUGCCGGUGUCGGCUGAUGCUUGUACGCAGGCGCUCUUACAUCCUUCUGUUAACUGUUCUUGGCAUUUUAUUGCUGGGUCAGGGCUCAGAUAUUUUACCUUGAGAAAAUUAAAGUGUUUCGGGCAGGCUUAUGCCGGAAUACAUUAACAUGGAAUAAUGGAACAGGACCUGUGCGUCUCUCGGGGCGCCGGUCUCCGUUGUUGGUUUCGGGGACUAAUGUAAUGAUUAAUAGGGAUAGUUGGGGGCAUUAGUAUUUAAUAGUCAGAGGUGAAAUUCUCGGAUUUGUUAAAGACUAACUUAUGCGAAAGCAUUUGCCAAGGAUGUUUUCAUUAAUCA
Molecule: ribosomal RNA, 578 nt
Filed under: uncultured ciliate
Lineage: Eukaryota; Ciliophora
Description: SSU rRNA
Rfam family: Eukaryotic small subunit ribosomal RNA
Source: RNAcentral